Molecule: ribosomal RNA, 253 nt
Filed under: uncultured bacterium
Lineage: Bacteria
Description: partial 16S ribosomal RNA
Rfam family: Bacterial small subunit ribosomal RNA
Source: RNAcentral
UACGUAGGGUGCAGGCGUUAAUCGGAAUUACUGGGCGUAAAGCGCGCGCAGGCGGUCUCUUAAGUCUGAUGUGAAAGCCCACGGCUCAACCGUGGAGGGUCAUUGGAAACUGGGGGACUUGAGUACAGAAGAGGAAAGCGGAAUUCCACGUGUAGCGGUGAAAUGCGUAGAGAUGUGGAGGAACACCAGUGGCGAAGGCGGCUUUCUGGUCUGUAACUGACGCUGAGGCGCGAAAGCGUGGGGAGCAAACAGG